RNAcentral lists this ribosomal RNA (316 nucleotides) under Cryptosporidium andersoni. RNAcentral describes it as "SSU rRNA". It matches the Rfam family "Eukaryotic small subunit ribosomal RNA", at positions 632 to 985 of the family's 1831-position model. The record is from RNAcentral. Lineage: Eukaryota; Apicomplexa; Conoidasida; Eucoccidiorida; Cryptosporidiidae.
AGUUGGAUUUCUGUUGUAAAAUAUUACCAAGGUAAUUAUUAUAUUAUCAACAUCCUUCCUAUUAUAUUCAAAAUAUAUAGGAAGUUUUACUUUGAGAAAAUUAGAGUGCUUAAAGCAGGCAACUGCCUUGAAUACUCCAGCAUGGAAAAAAAAGUAAGGACUUUUGUCUUUCUUAUUGGUUCUAGGACACAAGUAAUGGUUAAUAGGGACAGUUGGGGGCAUUCGUAUUUAACAGCCAGAGGUGAAAAUCUUAGAUUUGUUAAAGACGAACUACUGCGAAAGCAUUUGCCAAGGAUGUUUUCAUUAAUCAAGAACG